This 422-nucleotide ribosomal RNA is filed under the name uncultured bacterium. RNAcentral's name for it is "bacterial SSU rRNA". It matches the Rfam family "Bacterial small subunit ribosomal RNA", at positions 355 to 774 of the family's 1533-position model. The record is from RNAcentral.
UGAGGAAUAUUGGGCAAUGCCCGCAAGGGUGACCCAGCAACGCCGCGUGGAGGAUGAAUGUCGUAAGAUUGUAAACUCCUGUUAGAGGGGAAGAAUAGUACCGGUUGGACCGGUAUAUGACUGUACCCUCAGAGAAAGCCCCGGCUAACUACGUGCCAGCAGCCGCGGUAAUACGUAGGGUCCGAGCGUUGUCCGGAAUUACUGGGCGUAAAGAGCUCGUAGGUGGUUUGUCGCGUUGUUCGUGAAAACUCACAGCUUAACUGUGGGCGUGCGGGCGAUACGGGCAGACUAGAGUACUGCAGGGGAGACUGGAAUUCCUGGUGUAGCGGUGGAAUGCGCAGAUAUCAGGAGGAACACCGGUGGCGAAGGCGGGUCUCUGGGCAGUAACUGACGCUGAGGAGCGAAAGCGUGGGGAGCGAACA